This 435-nucleotide ribosomal RNA is filed under the name uncultured bacterium. RNAcentral's name for it is "bacterial SSU rRNA". It matches the Rfam family "Bacterial small subunit ribosomal RNA", at positions 958 to 1392 of the family's 1533-position model. The record is from RNAcentral.
AACGCGAAGAACCUUACCUAAGCUUGACAUCCUUUUGACCGAUGCCUAAUCGCAUCUUUCCCUUCGGGGACAAAAGUGACAGGUGGUGCAUGGUUGUCGUCAGCUCGUGUCGUGAGAUGUUGGGUUAAGUCCCGCAACGAGCGCAACCCUUGCCUUUAGUUGCCAGCAUUAAGUUGGGCACUCUAGAGGGACUGCCAGGGAUAACCUGGAAGAAGGUGGGGAUGACGUCAAAUCAUCAUGCCCCUUAUGCUUAGGGCUACACACGUGCUACAAUGGGUGGUACAGAGGGCAGCCAAGUCGUGAGGCCGAGCUAAUCCCUUAAAGCCAUUCUCAGUUCGGAUUGUAGGCUGAAACUCGCCUACAUGAAGCUGGAGUUACUAGUAAUCGCAGAUCAGAAUGCUGCGGUGAAUGCGUUCCCGGGUCUUGUACACACCG